Molecule: long non-coding RNA, 2763 nt
Filed under: Salmo salar (Atlantic salmon)
Lineage: Eukaryota; Metazoa; Chordata; Actinopteri; Salmoniformes; Salmonidae
Description: lncRNA (ENSSSAG00000113630.1)
Source: RNAcentral
GUCGUCACUUCCAUUAUUGCCUGCACCUGUGCAAUCAUGUGACACGAGACACUUUUCAAAAAUGUUUUUCUAGACACAGGAGAGGUCGGGUUGAAACAUUACUGAUGUUUCACGUUAAAAAUGGCUCUAAAGAUUGAUGCUAAACAACGUUUGACAUGUUUGAACGAACGUAAAUAGAUUAUUUUUUAAACUUUUUAAACUUUUCGCCGUGACUUCCCACCCCCCCGCCAUACUUUUUAGUAGCCACCGAAGCGCUAACAACUUGGAGUUAUUUGGACAUCAAUUAUGAACUUUGUCAAAAGAAACCACAUUUGUAGUGGACCUGGGAUUCCUGGAAGUGCCAAUGGAUGAAGAUAAUCAAAGGACCUGAGCCCUAGGACCAUGCCUCAGGACUACCUGGUAUGAUGACUCCUUGCUGUCCCCAGUCCACCUGGCCGUGCUGCUGCUCCAGUUUCAACUGUUCUGCCUGCGGCUAUGGAACCCUGACCUGUUCACCGGACGUGCUUGUUGCACCCUCGACAACUACUAUGAUUAUUAUUAUUUGACCAUGCUGGUCAUUUAUGAACAUUUUAACAUUUUAACAUCUUGACCAUGUUCUGUUAUAAUAUCCACCCUGCACAGCCAGAAGAGGACUGGCCACCCCUCAUAGCCUGGUUCCUCUCUAGGUUUCUUCCUAGGUUUUUGGCCUUUCUAGGGAGUUUUUCCUAGGGAGUUUUUCCUAGCCACCGUGCUUCUUUCACAUGCUUUGCUUGCUGUUUGGGGUUUUAGGCUGGGUUUCUGUAGAGCACUUUGAGAAUAUCAGCUGAUGUACGAAGGGCUAUAUAAAAAUAAAAUUGAUUUGAUUUGAUUUGAAGGAAGCCUCCAAUGUUGCUCAUCAUUGAACUCUGACAACUGCUCCUAUCCUUUUGAGUGGCUUGACUCCAGUGGCAUGUAUUCAAGGAUUCCAAGGGAAGCCAGCCUUCCCCAAAACAAUUACCAAUAAAAAAAUACAAAAACUUCUCAAAAAAAUUCAUAAUUUCCCUUAAAUUCGCAAGAGGCUGAAUGUAUCUCACAGGAGAAAGCAUUCGAGCGAGCGAAACAGCGCCCCUCUGUCUCUCUACGUGUAGGCCAUCUAUCUGAUUCUGUCUGGACCAAACGACUGUGAAUGGUCCUGGCGGACCAAAAAAAAGUGUAAAGGAAAGCCAGCUUGGAUUUGGCAUCACUCCUAUCAAAUCCUAUCAAAUCCCAUUGAGAACAUAUGUCCAGAAACACUUGAAUUAUUGCAUCUCAUUGUGUUGUUGUCCUCCGGUGGCUAGCUAGCCAGCUAGGUAAAAUUGUCCCUUCCCUAAAUUAGCCAUGGAUGGAGAUUAUGGAUACUUAAUUCGCCAUACUGGCCAAUGAUUAUAAUGGUGUUUCUGAUCCAGCAAAGCUGUCAUCAAGGCCAAGGGUGGCUCUAAAAUAUAUUUUGAUUUGUUUAACACUUUUUUGGUUACUACAUGAUUGUAUAUGUGUUAUUUCAUAGUUUUGAUGUUUCACUAUUAUUCUACAAUGUAGAAAAUAGUAAAAGUAAAGAAAAACCCUUGAAUGAGUAGGUGUUUCCAAACUUUUUACUGGUACUGUACAUACAUGCAUACUGUCAUGACGUUGGCCUGUGGGUAAGGUUUAUGACCCCCCAUAAAUACCUUUCUCCCUUCCCCUCUCUCUCUGACUCUACUGAAGGACUCUCGAAUAGCCUUUGUUAAACAUAGAGAGUCUGGGAACAUCAAACAAGUGGGGGGAAAGGAACCAUAUUUCGGUAAUAGAACAAGUUGGAAAUAUGCGUUGGUACUUAAUGAGUAUGGAUGUCAGUUUGGUUGUCAUCUGAGACAUUAUGACUGAUGACAGGAUGACAUAAACUGUAUCUGGGAAAGUCUACACAUUCUAGUUAUCAGAUUCACAUGGAAUUGUUGUGCAAUUUGAUAUUGAAACUGUUUGUUAGAAGAUUAAAUGUAAUUUUAGCUUCCAAAUGAGAGAAUUUGGGUUUUCAUAAGGAAAGAGCCCUGCUCAAUCAGUGGCCUGCCCCUGUGAAGAGAUGGGUUAGAAACUAUGAAACACACCCUUCUCCCCCUCCACUAUAUAAGCCCUUGACGAAAAUGUAACCUUCUGUUCCGAGUACGUGAGGUCUACAGCCUCUGCGUUAAAAUGACUAACAUGUCAAGUACAGAACUAAGCCAACCUCAGCGUGAGCUUUGGUUGUGAAUGGUAUGAACUUUGAACUCUUAUUCACUACAGAAGUGAUACUUCCUAGCCGUUGAGUUAGCAGCGGCCGCUGUAAACGUGGGCUAGGAAAGGACGGACGACAUUUCCAGUCUAACACACCACGAAGAUACUACAACGUAUCCAAUUUACCACCAGUGACAUUCUUCCGAUGCCAGGAAGAUCUCUGUUGGCCAACACGGCCAGCAUCUACGACCAACCUACCGAAGCGCAGCUCAGAGUAAAUAUUUAUUGCAUUUCCUUUUCCAAAUGGGCGGUAAUUUAGAAUGCAUAAGAUACUGUAUUUACGAUAGCAUAGCUGUUUCUUUUGUUCCUCAGUCUUCCCGCUCUUUCAUUCAAGCCCAACCCCCUUUCUUUGUCUAACAAGCCUCAUACAGGUAACGUCCACCAGGGACGUUUUCUGUGUGACAUAAUUUGCAUUCAGUUUAUAUGUAAUUCUGUGUGAUUAGUUAGGUAUUUGGUAAAUAAAUAAUUAAACCCAAUUUUGUAUUGCUGAUUCAACUUGUUAGCCAGGAUUCGUGAAGAUAA